Molecule: transfer RNA, 73 nt
Filed under: Acinetobacter gerneri DSM 14967 = CIP 107464 = MTCC 9824
Lineage: Bacteria; Pseudomonadati; Pseudomonadota; Gammaproteobacteria; Moraxellales; Moraxellaceae
Description: Acinetobacter gerneri DSM 14967 = CIP 107464 tRNA
Rfam family: tRNA
About the family: Transfer RNA (tRNA) molecules are approximately 80 nucleotides in length.
Source: Rfam by way of RNAcentral
GGGUUGUUAGCUCAGUUGGUAGAGCAGUGGACUCUUAAUCCAUUGGUCGAGGGUUCGAGCCCCUCACGACCCA